RNAcentral lists this ribosomal RNA (482 nucleotides) under Citrobacter freundii. Its description in RNAcentral is "partial 23S ribosomal RNA". It matches the Rfam family "Bacterial large subunit ribosomal RNA", at positions 1295 to 1772 of the family's 2925-position model. Lineage: Bacteria; Pseudomonadati; Pseudomonadota; Gammaproteobacteria; Enterobacterales; Enterobacteriaceae. The record is from RNAcentral.
UGCUGACAUAAGUAACGAUAAUGCGGGUGAAAAACCCGCACGCCGGAAGACCAAGGGUUCCUGUCCAACGUUAAUCGGGGCAGGGUGAGUCGACCCCUAAGGCGAGGCCGAAAGGCGUAGUCGAUGGGAAACAGGUUAAUAUUCCUGUACUUGGUGUUACUGCGAAGGGGGGACGGAGAAGGCUAUGUUGGCCGGGCGACGGUUGUCCCGGUUUAAGCAUGUAGGCGGAGGUUCCAGGUAAAUCCGGUACCUUUUAACGCUGAGGUGUGAUGACGAGGCACUACGGUGCUGAAGUGACAAAUGCCCUGCUUCCAGGAAAAGCCUCUAAGCAUCAGGUAACACGAAAUCGUACCCCAAACCGACACAGGUGGUCAGGUAGAGAAUACCAAGGCGCUUGAGAGAACUCGGGUGAAGGAACUAGGCAAAAUGGUGCCGUAACUUCGGGAGAAGGCACGCUGAUAUGUAGGUGAAGCGGUUUACCC